Non-coding RNA from Oncorhynchus kisutch (coho salmon), 1748 nucleotides. Lineage: Eukaryota; Metazoa; Chordata; Actinopteri; Salmoniformes; Salmonidae. The record is from the annotation of a RefSeq genome assembly.
AUGGUGUUCAAUGUGAGCACCACCCAGGCGUACUUCGGCAAUGGCACCAAACUCACAGUUCUGGAUCCAAACAUCAAAGUCACUGAACCCACAGUGAAAGUCCUAGCACCCUCCGCUAAGGAGUGUGAAGAUAGAAACAAGAAGAAGAAGAAGACCCUAGUGUGUGUAGCCACCCGCUUCUACCCCGACCACGUCACGGUCUUCUGGCAAGUCAACAAUGUCAACAGAACUGAAGGUGCCGGGACCGACAACAGGGCCUUGUGGGAUAAAGAUGGUUUAUACAGUAUCACCAGCAGACUGAGAGUCCCAGCCAAUGAAUGGCACAAACCAGAGAACAGAUUCACCUGCAGUGUCAGCUUUUACAAUGGGACUGACAAUAUAUAUGUGAAUGACACCAUUAGUGGAGAUCUCCAAGGUCAAACUGGGGGAGAGAUAACGACAGAUUACUAUGUGAAGAGCACCCAGACUGCCAAGCUGGCCUACAGCAUCUUCAUCGCUAAGAGUACCUUCUACGGCCUGGUCGUCAUGGUUAUGAUUUGGAAGUUCCAGGGCUCCUCAGAGAAACAGAUUUAACGGAAUACAAGCGGCCCAAGGAGGAUGUCCUGCAUGGGUGUUGAUUCUUCCAUGUGAUCAAGAACGGACUGGCAAAUGGGCAAUUCUGGCAAAUGCCAGAUGGACCGAUUCAUCUUUAGCCCAGUGGGCCUGUCUAAAUAGUAUCAUUUUUUUAGCAAAAUAAUAAUAAUUUGUCUAGUAAAGAGGGUCUUAAAGAAAAACAUGGGCAGGUGUGUUAGAAAUGCCUGGGCCGGUUUCUGGUCCCAGUUUGCCCCUGCAUGUAAUUGUAUUGUCCAUUGUGCUUAUUGUUGCCAGUAUCUUUUUAUUGCCCUGUCUAUGUGAAGAUGUGCUUUUUAGAAUCUCCUAUGAACAUGAACUUGCAAUUUAAAUGUAUAUUUGAAUCAAUUCAGCCAAACCAAUCUUUCCAUUAACUUACAAAAUCAAUGACUGUUUGUUUUUCCAGUAAUUACAGUAGAGUAUGUAUCGAUACACUUUGCUUUCCAAUUUCUAAAUGUUAGUUUGUGAAUAAUAAACUGUAUAUAAUUAGGGACAGAUCAAAAUGUACCUCUCCACAGUUAAAUAUUUUCAGGACCCUCCCCCUCAUAGAAUUAACUCAAUAUAAUGUUUACGACCACAAUAACAAGAACUGUAGCGACCCUGUUUUUAUCAACGUGGAUAUUGACUUUGCCACUUCAGUCUGCUUUUCUGGCACAGUUGAUGCCACGCAGGGCUUUGGGCCAGAAGGUUGAAGGUUCACCGACCACCACAGACAAGCUCCCUCUCCCUGCCUGUUUCAUCACAUUACGAUCAGAGUCGGAGGCAGACCAUGAUCAGCUAGGGGGAAAUCAGAUUUUCAACAUUUUGAUGCCAUAUUUAUAUAAAAUAUAUUCAACGAAUCUUCCACCGACAGGUUUAAUAACCAAUGAACAAAGCAAACCACCUUCUGGCACUUCAAUAUCACGGUUUGUGUUGUGAACAAACAGAACAUACACCCCUCCCUACCUUGUAGACUUACCCAGUAUUGAAGGCUUGGCUUGACAAUCUCCUAGUGUCAUUAAACUUUAUAGUGUUUUGGAACAAUGUCUCUUUUCAUUCAUCAUUUGGCCACUGCACAGUUUGGAUUGAUUGAUUUUAUUUGUCUGUAAAAUACAUAUAUAAGUGACUGGGAUUGCACAAUAAAGUCUGGGACUUAUUUC